AUGCUGUGGUGGGUGGAUGGGCGGCGGAGGAUCACGUCGCCCGAGCUCGUCCCUGCCAUGCGCAGCUACUUCGGCAACGUCACGACCUACGUUGUAGAGGAGGCGGCCGUGGAGGAGAUCCAGCGGAAGCCGCUGGCGGAGGUGGCGGCCAUGGUGCGGGAGGCCAUCACGUCGAUAGACUACGACGAGCACAUACAGGAGCUGGUGGACAGGGUGGAGGAGCACAAGAAGCAGAAGAUUGUGGAGAAGGCCGCCGUCGGGCUCGGCUCGCCGACGGUGAACCAGACGGUGUUCGCCUCGUUCCCGCUGGACAUGGACUUCGGGUUUGGCCAGGCCACGCUGGCCAUGCCCGUAUGGCACCACGGCAGGCUCGCCUCAGGCAACCUGGCGGUCGGUACGUGGCCUGGAGGCGACGGCUCAUGGAUUGUCAACGCGUACGUGUGGCCGCGGCUAGCGGCGGCGCUCGAGUCUGACGGCCAGUGCAUCUUUAAGCCUGUCACGGCAGAGUAUCUCCAGUUCGAAGCCACCAUCUUCACCAUACAACACACAAUAAAUUAA
RNAcentral lists this ribosomal RNA (558 nucleotides) under Triticum aestivum (bread wheat). Its description in RNAcentral is "partial small subunit ribosomal RNA". The record is from RNAcentral. Lineage: Eukaryota; Viridiplantae; Streptophyta; Magnoliopsida; Poales; Poaceae.